CUGUAUACCCCCUCUCCCGCGCGCCUCGUCCCUGCCUGUUUUCUUCAACCCCUCCGCAGCUCCACGGUUCCGCCCGUGCACGGGGUCCAUCCCUGACUUCUGUUCAUUCCUGACCUCUAUCGUCUCAGCUUUUCUUCACUGUGCGCGGGUUAGCUGGACCAUGGACUGUGGAAGGAGUUGCAGCGGGCUUUGCACCCCUGACAACUCUGCGUGACUGAAAAUGCGGCAUCCCCGGCAAAUCCUCGUCACCGGCUCUGCGCAUCUGCAAAAAUGAAGACUUGAUCGGGGUAUCCUUCAUCCUCGUCAUAUCGCCGAAAAUCUCC
RNAcentral lists this long non-coding RNA (323 nucleotides) under Chlamydomonas reinhardtii. Its description in RNAcentral is "long non-coding RNA (CREI_LNC000757)". Lineage: Eukaryota; Viridiplantae; Chlorophyta; Chlorophyceae; Chlamydomonadales; Chlamydomonadaceae. The record is from RNAcentral.